GUGGGCCCUCCUCAGCACAUAUGCUAAAUUGGAAGAUCGGCAUGGCCCCUGCUCAAGAGCCACAUGAAAAUUUGUAAAGUGUUCUAUAUUUCU
This 93-nucleotide small nuclear RNA is filed under the name Meriones unguiculatus (Mongolian gerbil). The record is from RNAcentral. Lineage: Eukaryota; Metazoa; Chordata; Mammalia; Rodentia; Muridae.